CUACGGGAGGCAGCAGUGGGGAAUAUUGGACAAUGGGCGCAAGCCUGAUCCAGCAACGCCGCGUGGAGGAAGAAGGUUUUCGGAUCGUAAACUCCUGUCAGGUGGGACGAAAAGCCGUCGGUGAAUAGCCGGCGGUCAUGACUGUACCAUCAGAGGAAGCCCCGGCUAACUCCGUGCCAGCAGCCGCGGUAAUACGGGGGGGGCGAGCGUUAUUCGGAAUUAUUGGGCGUAAAGGGCGCGUAGGCGGCAUGGCAAGUCAAAGGUGAAAUCCCUCGGCUCAACCGGGGAACUGCCUCUGAAACUGCCAAGCUCGAGGGCGGGAGGGGGUGGCGGAAUUCCCAGUGUAGCGGUGAAAUGCGUAGAUAUCGGGAGGAACGCCAAAAGCGAAAGCAGCCGGCUGGGUCGAGACUGACACUGAGGGACGAAAGCGUGGGUAGCGAACAGGAUUAGAAACCCGAGUAGUCC
RNAcentral lists this ribosomal RNA (465 nucleotides) under uncultured bacterium. Its description in RNAcentral is "bacterial SSU rRNA". It matches the Rfam family "Bacterial small subunit ribosomal RNA", at positions 339 to 796 of the family's 1533-position model. The record is from RNAcentral.